Molecule: ribosomal RNA, 450 nt
Filed under: uncultured bacterium
Lineage: Bacteria
Description: partial 16S ribosomal RNA
Rfam family: Bacterial small subunit ribosomal RNA
Source: RNAcentral
GUGGGGAAUCUUCCGCAAUGGACGAAAGUCUGACGGAGCGACGCCGCGUGAGUGAAGAAGGCCUUCGGGUCGUAAAGCUCUGUCAUCAGGGACGAAUGGCCGGUGGAGUGGAAAGCCACCGGAUUGACGGUACCUGAGAAGGAAGCCACGGCUAACUACGUGCCAGCAGCCGCGGUAAUACGUAGGUGGCAAGCGUUGUCCGGAAUUAUUGGGCGUAAAGCGCGCGCAGGUGGGAUCUUAAGUCCAUUUUGAAAGUUCGGAGCUCAACUCCGUGAUGGGAUGGAAACUGGGAUUCUUGAGUACCGGAGAGGAAAGCGGAAUUCCCCGUGUAGCGGUGAAAUGCGUAGAUAUGGGGAGGAACACCAGUGGCGAAGGCGGCUUUCUGGACGGUGUCUGACACUGAGGCGCGAAAGCCAGGGGAGCGAACGGGAUUAGAAACCCGUGUAGUCC